This 469-nucleotide ribosomal RNA is filed under the name uncultured bacterium. RNAcentral describes it as "bacterial SSU rRNA". It matches the Rfam family "Bacterial small subunit ribosomal RNA", at positions 33 to 507 of the family's 1533-position model. The record is from RNAcentral.
GACGACGCUGGCGGCGUGCUUAACACAUGCAAGUCGAACGGAGAUAUAUCAGUAGCAAUACGGAUAUAUCUUAGUGGCGGACGGGUGAGUAACGCGUGAGCAACCUACCUUUUACAGGGGGAUAACACAGGGAAACCUGUGCUAAUACCGCAUAACAUACUAUUGGGGCAUCCCGAUGGUAUCAAAGGAGCAAUCCGGUAAAAGAUGGGCUCGCGUCCGAUUAGAUAGUUGGUGGGGUAACGGCCUACCAAGUCAACGAUCGGUAGCCGGACUGAGAGGUUGGCCGGCCACAUUGGGACUGAGACACGGCCCAGACUCCUACGGGAGGCAGCAGUGGGGAAUAUUGGUCAAUGGGGGAAACCCUGAACCAGCGACGCCGCGUGAAGGAAGAAGGCCUUCGGGUUGUAAACUUCUUUGACAGGGGACGAUAAUGACGGUACCCUGAGAACAAGCCACGGCUAACUACGUG